Molecule: ribosomal RNA, 274 nt
Filed under: Escherichia coli
Lineage: Bacteria; Pseudomonadati; Pseudomonadota; Gammaproteobacteria; Enterobacterales; Enterobacteriaceae
Description: partial 23S ribosomal RNA
Rfam family: Bacterial large subunit ribosomal RNA
Source: RNAcentral
GCAGUGUACCCGCGGCAAGACGGAAAGACCCCGUGAACCUUUACUAUAGCUUGACACUGAACAUUGAGCCUUGAUGUGUAGGAUAGGUGGGAGGCUUAGAAGUGUGGACGCCAGUCUGCAUGGAGCCGACCUUGAAAUACCACCCUUUAAUGUUUGAUGUUCUAACGUUGACCCGUGAUCCGGGUUGCGGACAGUGUCUGGUGGGUAGUUUGACUGGGGCGGUCUCCUCCUAAAGAGUAACGGAGGAGCACGAAGGUUGGCUAAUCCUGGUCGG